This 120-nucleotide ribosomal RNA is filed under the name uncultured bacterium. RNAcentral describes it as "partial 16S ribosomal RNA". It matches the Rfam family "Bacterial small subunit ribosomal RNA", at positions 29 to 151 of the family's 1533-position model. The record is from RNAcentral.
AACGAACGUUGGCGGCGUGGAUGAGGCAUGCAAGUCGAACGCGAAAGCCGCAAGGCGAGUAGCGUGGCGGACGGGUGCGUAACGCGUAGUCAAGUUACCUUCGAGACGGGGAUAACCGCG